Molecule: unclassified non-coding RNA, 625 nt
Filed under: Hevea brasiliensis (rubber tree)
Lineage: Eukaryota; Viridiplantae; Streptophyta; Magnoliopsida; Malpighiales; Euphorbiaceae
Source: RNAcentral
AACAAUCUUGCUUGUUCUUUCAUUGAUGUCUACAAAUGAAGGGAAAUUGAUACAAAUAACUGAAUGAAAUGAUAAUUGCCUACAUCCGAGCUUUGAUCGAAUAUGGCUAUCAUUAUAUUUACUAUCCUUUUACAAUUGCAAGAAUCGAAACAAAACGAAAGAAUUCAUAUGGCUCUACAGCUUUUUCGUCGAUAUCAAUGAAAGAACAAGCAAGAUUGUUUGGUUAACGGGCAAGAGAUCCAAAGCCAUUGACAAGCGCAUGAGCUCUGGGAUUAAAGGCCAGUCUCCCCAAUAUACCUUGUUUAUAUGGCAAGAAAGUUUUCUUUUUCAAAUCCUCUGAUGCUGCUUUAUUCUUCGUGUAAUGCAACUCGUGAGCCGACACUGGCCCCUUUCUCCUCGAUGCUGCCGACACUGAACCCGAGCUGUCUGUGGACCGGAAGCUCGUGUUCUUUGCAUCUUCGGGUUUCCUGAAGAAAGAUGGAUACUUGGUCCUCAAAGGAUCUUUAUCCGCUGCUCUUCCCUCAGAUGCGCUUCUGAACAGCAAGAAAUCCCUCAACCUCCACUUUCUAGAAGCACUCUUUGUAGAUGAGGAAGACGAAGAGGAAGAAGAAGAAGAAGAAGAAGA